RNAcentral lists this ribosomal RNA (500 nucleotides) under uncultured bacterium. RNAcentral's name for it is "partial 16S ribosomal RNA". It matches the Rfam family "Bacterial small subunit ribosomal RNA", at positions 30 to 523 of the family's 1533-position model. The record is from RNAcentral.
AUUGAACGCUGGCGGCAUGCCUUACACAUGCAAGUCGAACGGCAGCACGGGAGCAAUCCUGGUGGCGAGUGGCGAACGGGUGAGUAAAGUAUCGGAACGUGCCCAGUCGUGGGGGAUAACGUAGCGAAAGUUACGCUAAUACCGCAUACGAUCUAUGGAUGAAAGCGGGGGAUCGCAAGACCUCGCGCGAUUGGAGCGGCCGAUAUCAGGUUAGGUAGUUGGUGGGGUAAAGGCUCACCAAGCCGACGAUCUGUAGCUGGUCUGAGAGGACGACCGGCCACACUGGGACUGAGACACGGCCCAGACUCCUACGGGAGGCAGCAGUGGGGAAUUUUGGACAAUGGGCGAAAGCCUGAUCCAGCCAUGCCGCGUGCAGGAUGAAGGCCUUCGGGUUGUAAACUGCUUUUGUACGGAACGAAAAGGUUUGGCCUAAUAAGCUGAGCUCAUGACAGUACCGUAAGAAUAAGCACCGGCUAACUACGUGCCAGCAGCCGCCGUAA